CUUCUAUCUAAAAUAAAUUUGCAGAUUUUGGCACUAUAAAUAAUAAUACUAUCACAGUUACUGGCUAGAACAAUAGACAAUUUAUCCAGGUUGGAAAAAUUUAAAAAGUUUGAGUGUUCUGACAGAAUAAUUUUAAAAAGUUCAUUUCGCAGAUCAUCGUACAACGGACACUCUAACAAGACAUGUUCCUCAGUUUCAACAAUGUUUUUACAAGUUUCGCAAGUCCGUUGUUGCACGGGUAGCCUCUCAAAUCGUCCAGUCUCUAGGCGGAUCGGUGCAACACCACAUCGAAACUGCGCGUAUGCUCUUCUAUGUGAUGGAACUAUAACUUUGUGCAUGUAUUCCUCGGUGUGUAAUG
Molecule: long non-coding RNA, 358 nt
Filed under: Mytilus galloprovincialis (Mediterranean mussel)
Lineage: Eukaryota; Metazoa; Mollusca; Bivalvia; Mytilida; Mytilidae
Source: RNAcentral